This is a long non-coding RNA of Rhododendron vialii, 1860 nucleotides long. RefSeq lists it as uncharacterized. The transcript is spliced from 3 exons. NCBI's taxonomy places the organism in Eukaryota, Viridiplantae, Streptophyta, Magnoliopsida, Ericales, Ericaceae. The record is from RefSeq and is a predicted model, not a curated record.
AAAACACAGGGCUCCAUAGAAACUUGCGAAGAACACCGAUCGAGCACCGAACUCGAUCAGGCAGGCACCAUAAUUAAUUCCUCGAUUCAUCCAAAGUACUCCUAUGUAUUUGAGUAUUUGUAUUUGUAUUACCCCUCCCUCAAUCCAUUCAACUUCUUCAAACUAGUAUGGUAUUUCCCUCGGGUCAGUUUUGCAUGAAUAUCUGUAGAUUAAUUUUACUCAGUGGAUGAAGAUGAUGAUUAGGCAUUUUAACUAAGAUAAGAAUUUCUGUUGUGUUUAACUGAGACUGGAAUUUGUUCAGUGACUACUUGUUUAAACGAGCCGAGCGAGCUUCGUAAUGUUUGAGUUCGGCUCGUUUACUGAACGAGCCCAAGGGCAAGUCACCCGCUGAUCGCCUUCUCCAUUUGCUUUUCCUUGAAAAAAAAAUUCUCAAUGGUUGAGGCACUUCUAGUUUCAAGUUUAUAUGGAAGUCAAAUGGGCUGACAAUAGUAGGUGUGUGAAUGUGUAUUAAAGAGUGUAAAAAAUAAACAGAAAUACAUAUUUUCGUUGCCGUCUAGUGUGCUUAUCGUCAAUCCAGUGUGCUGAUAGUAGCAAGACCGAUAAUAUAUAUACCUUUAGCAGCUUUCUAAUUCCACUUCCACAUGAAUAUCUGUAGAAUUAUUUUACUCAGUGGAUGAAGAUGAUUGGGCAUUUUAACAAAGGUAAGAAUUUCUGUUGCGUUUAAUUGAGACUGGAAUUUGUUCAGUGACUACUGGUAGUGCAUGGCUGUCAUGUAAUUGAUUGGGUGACAAAAGAGAAAUAGUGACUGCUGUAUGCUAUUAUCCUCCUAGUGGAAAGGUUUGGAGAAGUUCUGGCCUUCUAUCCUUCUUGUAAAAUGUUGCUUGAAAAUUAUGGGAGUUGGUUUUAAAUGAUGAUGCAUUGUCUAUAAUUGCAGCGAGGAAUUGCGGGCUCAAUGGAUGGAAGCUGCCGCUUUUACGAUACCAUAGCUAUGCACAUGUCCUUCACCAGACACUCUUUUCAAGUCUUGCUCGAGCAUGAAACUCGGAGAAUUAACAUUGUGGGAUCAUGUUUUGCGUGGGUCAGAUAAUCAGUUGCAGCUGGAAGGUGAGAUAUGUUUGAAGGGGAAAAAGAAGUAAUCCUGCAAGAGGAUAACUGGCUUUCAGUUUUCUCCCAGUGAUCCAACCAAAGUUCUUGUCACUUCUGCUGAUUCUCAAGUUCGAGUACUUUGUGGUGUUGAUGUCAUCCUCAAAUUCAAGGGCCCACGAAAGACAAAUAGUCCGGCGACUGCAUCUUUCACUGCAGAUGGGGAACAUAUCGUCUCAGCGGGAGACGACUCAAAUGUGUAUGUCUGGGACUAUAUUAGCAAGGGCUCAACUUCUUCCAAAACAAAGAAGGUGUCCGUGUGAUCAUCUUAUGAACGCUUUGUUUCUCACAACACGUCGAUUGCUAUACCUCGGUGUGGUAUGAAAACCACGCCUGGUUCACUUUUGACUCCCCCUAUGGGAGACGAUGAUCUGGCAUGCUGUAUCUUGGGGAAUGGGCAAUGUGAUCAAAGCUUAUUCGGGUUUGAAAAUCCAGUGUUUUGGGUGCCAUUGGAUUUUGAUGAUGCUCAUUUGUUGGCUACUAUAGGGAUCGCAGCGACUGGAACAUUUGUGGCUAGGUUAGUUUUGCAUGAAUCUCAGUAUGUAGUGUAAUGUAGAGUCACAGCAGAAAUCUGGUUUUUUUAUUCAGAUGAAGAGGUGUAAUUUCAUUGAUUCUUUUACAAACCAGCCAUAUGGCAACAUAUGGGCUGAAAUUCCUUUUGUAAUGGAUAUCAUUAUUCAGAUCAUUAGUAUAAAAUUCUUUGAUUUGUUGAAUAAA